RNAcentral lists this ribosomal RNA (370 nucleotides) under uncultured Streptococcus sp. RNAcentral describes it as "bacterial SSU rRNA". It matches the Rfam family "Bacterial small subunit ribosomal RNA", at positions 527 to 896 of the family's 1533-position model. Lineage: Bacteria; Bacillati; Bacillota; Bacilli; Lactobacillales; Streptococcaceae. The record is from RNAcentral.
GUAGGUCCCGAGCGUUGUCCGGAUUUAUUGGGCGUAAAGCGAGCGCAGGCGGUUAGAUAAGUCUGAAGUUAAAGGCUGUGGCUUAACCAUAGUACGCUUUGGAAACUGUUUAACUUGAGUGCAAGAGGGGAGAGUGGAAUUCCAUGUGUAGCGGUGAAAUGCGUAGAUAUAUGGAGGAACACCGGUGGCGAAAGCGGCUCUCUGGCUUGUAACUGACGCUGAGGCUCGAAAGCGUGGGGAGCAAACAGGAUUAGAUACCCUGGUAGUCCACGCCGUAAACGAUGAGUGCUAGGUGUUAGACCCUUUCCGGGGUUUAGUGCCGCAGCUAACGCAUUAAGCACUCCGCCUGGGGAGUACGACCGCAAGGUUG